This 587-nucleotide ribosomal RNA is filed under the name marine sediment metagenome. RNAcentral's name for it is "SSU rRNA". It matches the Rfam family "Bacterial small subunit ribosomal RNA", at positions 957 to 1532 of the family's 1533-position model. The record is from RNAcentral.
CUACGCGAGAAACCUUACCUGGGCUUGACAUGCAGGGAGUAGGAACCUGAAAGGGGGACGACCUGUUUUAGUCAGGAUCCUGCACAGGUGCUGCAUGGCUGUCGUCAGCUCGUGUCGUGAGAUGUUGGGUUAAGUCCCGCAACGAGCGCAACCAUUGUUCUUAGUUGCUAACUGAUUUCGAUCAGUGCACUCUAAGAAGACUGCCAGUAUUUAACUGGAGGAAGGAGGAGAUGACGUCAAGUCCGUAUGGCCCUUACGCCCAGGGCGACACACGUGCUACAAUGGCCGGUACAAAGGGUUGCGAGACCGCGAGGUGGAGCCAAUCCCAGAAAGCCGGCCUCAGUUCGGAUCGAAGGCUGCAAUUCGCCUUCGUGAAGUUGGAAUCGCUAGUAACCGCAGAUCAGCCAUGCUGCGGUGAAUACGUUCCCGGGUCUUGUACACACCGCCUGUCAAGUCACCUGAGUUGAGUGCACCCGAAGCCGUUAGCCUAACCCUCACGGGAGGGCGAUGUCGAAGGUGUGCUUGGCAAGGAGGACUAAGUCAUAACAAGGUAGUCGUACCGGAAGGUGCGUCUGGAUCACCUCCUU